Molecule: ribosomal RNA, 504 nt
Filed under: Setia ambigua
Lineage: Eukaryota; Metazoa; Mollusca; Gastropoda; Littorinimorpha; Rissoidae
Description: partial 16S ribosomal RNA
Rfam family: Bacterial large subunit ribosomal RNA
Source: RNAcentral
AAAAACAUGGCUCUUUGGAAAUUACAUAUAAAGAGUCGGACCUGCCCAGUGAUAAAAUAUAUUUAACGGCCGCAGUACCCUGACUGUGCAAAGGUAGCAUAAUCAUUUGCUCUAUAAUUGAGGGCUAGUAUGAAUGGUUUGACAAGAACAUAACUGUCUCUUGCGUAAUAAUUAAAAAUUAAAUUUUAGGUGAAGAUGCCUAAAUAAAAUUAAAAGACGAGAAGACCCUGUUGAGCUUUAAAAACUUUAAGGCUAACUAACGAGUUUUUUUGGUUGGGGCGACCUAGGAACAUGUAAAGCUUCUUUAAUUAGUUAAGACAUUAAGUUAUGAUCCAAUAGAAUUGAUUAACAAAAUAAGCUACCACAGGGAUAACAGCGUAAUUCUCUCUGAGAGUCCAUAUUAAGGAGUGAGUUUGCGACCUCGAUGUUGGACUAAAAUAUCCUAAAGGUGCAGAUGCCUUAAAGGGUUGGUCUGUUCGACCAUUAAAAUUUUACAUGAUCUGG